This 380-nucleotide ribosomal RNA is filed under the name uncultured organism. RNAcentral's name for it is "bacterial SSU rRNA". It matches the Rfam family "Bacterial small subunit ribosomal RNA", at positions 526 to 897 of the family's 1533-position model. The record is from RNAcentral.
CAGAGACCUCAAGCGUUAUCCGGAAUCAUUGGGCGUAAAGCGUACCGAUAGGUGGUUUGGUUAGUCUUGGGUGAAAUCCUGAAGCUCAACUUCAGGUUUGCUCAAGAAACGGCCGAGACUAGAGGGGCAAAGAGGAGACUGGAACGAACGGUGUAGUAGUGAAAUGCGUUGAUAUCGUUCGGAACACCGAAAGCGAAGGCAGGUCUCUGGGUGCCUCCUGACACUGCUAGGACGAAAGCGUGGGUAGCGAAUGGGAUUAGAUACCCCAGUAGUCCACGCUGUAAACGAUGAGUGCUAGGCAUGCGCGAGUAUCGACCCUCGUGCGAGCCGUAGCUAACGCGUUAAGCACUCCGCCUGGGGAGUACGGCCGCAAAGGCUAA